This 339-nucleotide unclassified non-coding RNA is filed under the name Hevea brasiliensis (rubber tree). Lineage: Eukaryota; Viridiplantae; Streptophyta; Magnoliopsida; Malpighiales; Euphorbiaceae. The record is from RNAcentral.
AAUUUUGUUAAUUAGAAAAUUCCAAUGAGCAACAACAGAAAGCAUGAUUUCACUACAUAACCAUAACCAGCCUAACAACUGAAUACUGGAACUCCACAAGUCCAUUUAAUUUUAAACCUAUUUCCAUAUUGCAAUUCAAUAAUCAAUAACCCGUAACUGUUUUCGUGCUUACUACUUUAUCAUGCAUGUCCAUCACCACAAGUUCACUCACAACAAAUUUCUACUCAAUUCAAUCACCCAAGACUUCACAACUACAAAGGGAUGUAGGUUUUAUUCUACCUUCAACAGAUAAAAUGUGCCAUCUCUCACAUCCACAAAUUCUAGCUUCAACUGAUGAAA